RNAcentral lists this long non-coding RNA (574 nucleotides) under Cyanistes caeruleus (blue tit). RNAcentral's name for it is "lncRNA (ENSCCEG00000009303.1)". Lineage: Eukaryota; Metazoa; Chordata; Aves; Passeriformes; Paridae. The record is from RNAcentral.
CUUGUAAAUUCAGUGAAUUAAAUUUCACCAAAAAAACACUGAAAACAUUUUUCCCCACAAAUAUAAAGCUAAUGUAGUUUGUAAUUAAUUGAAUAAUGCUGGUUUAAAAGAAAGAAAGACAACACUAAAAAAGCUGCAAAUGAAUAGACCAUAUUACAGCAUAUUCAUCAAACAUUAUCUUUACACAACCUGUCAGCUUUUAGUUUGAUGCUUCUUCCAGAUGUUUCAAGCUCACAGAACAUAAAACUUCUGUAAAACCUAAAUUAAGACAGCAAUAUGUGACAUAAUAGCUUUGGUAAAUUAUUUCUUGUUCACAGGAUGGUUUCUGGAAUCAUGAGGAUUAGUCCUUCACAUUGAACAUCAAAGAGUCUGGCACAGACAGAGAAGAUAAACUCUGACCCUUGCCAGAUGAGACCUGAACCUUAGCACAACCUCCCUCAAACCAGAUGGGUGUCCACAGAUGAGCCAACAGGAGACAGUGGCUGAAAAGAGACAGUGCUGCAAUUGCCUUCUAAGAGAGAUGAGUUUUGGUGAUUUAUGUCAAAUGAAGCAACUCUUACAGUGUGUAAAUUGA